AAAUGCGAAAAGUAAUGCGAAUUGCAGAAUUCAGCGAGUCAUCGAGUUUUUGAACGCACAUUGCGCCCCUUGGUAUUCCAUGGGGCAUGCCUGUUCGAGCGUCAUUUGUACCCUCAAGCUCUGCUUGGUGUUGGGUGUUUGUCCCGUCUCCGCGCGUGGACUCGCCCCAAAGUGAUUGGCAGCCGGCGUACUGGUCCCGGAGCGCAGCACAUGUCGCGCAAACGAGUGCCUUGGUACGGCGGCGUCCAUAAGCCCCUCUCUCACGCUCUUGACCUCGGAUCAGGUAGGGAUACCCGCUGAACUUAAGC
RNAcentral lists this unclassified non-coding RNA (308 nucleotides) under plant metagenome. Its description in RNAcentral is "partial contains 5.8S ribosomal RNA, internal transcribed spacer 2, and large subunit ribosomal RNA". The stretch from base 1 to 104 matches the Rfam family "5.8S ribosomal RNA", at positions 51 to 154 of the family's 154-position model. The record is from RNAcentral.